Molecule: ribosomal RNA, 352 nt
Filed under: uncultured Halococcus sp.
Lineage: Archaea; Methanobacteriati; Methanobacteriota; Halobacteria; Halobacteriales; Halococcaceae
Description: bacterial SSU rRNA
Rfam family: Archaeal small subunit ribosomal RNA
Source: RNAcentral
UUCCGGUUGAUCCUGCCGGAGGCCAUUGCUAUCGGAUUCCGAUUUAGCCAUGCUAGUCGCACGGGUUCAGACCCGUGGCGAACAGCUCAGUAACACGUGGCCAAACUACCCUACGGACCGGGACAACCUCGGGAAACUGAGGNUAAUUCCGGAUACCGCUCCCAGGCUGGAAUGCCGGGAGCGCGAAACGCUCCGGCGCCGUAGGAUGUGGCUGCGGCCGAUUAGGUAGACGGUGGGGUAACGGCCCACCCGUGCCCAUAAUCGGUACGGGAUGUGAGAGCAAAUAGCCCGGAGAUGGGAAUCUGAGACAAGAUUCCAGGCCCUACGGGGCGCAGCAGGCGCGAAANCUUUA